UACGUAGGGGGCGAGCGUUGUCCGAAGUUACUGGGCGUAAAGCGCGCGUAGGCGGUCCUUUAAGUCCGGGGUGAAAGGUUCAGCGCUCAACGUGAACAGUGCCCUGGAGACUGGGGGACUUGAGUGUGGGAGGGGGCAGUGGAAUCCCUGGUGUAGCGGUGAAAUGCGUAGAUAUCAGGAGGAACACCGAUGGCGAAGGCAGCUGCCUGGCCUGACACUGACGCUGAGGUGCGAAAGCGUGGGGAGCGAACGGG
This 254-nucleotide ribosomal RNA is filed under the name uncultured bacterium. RNAcentral describes it as "partial 16S ribosomal RNA". It matches the Rfam family "Bacterial small subunit ribosomal RNA", at positions 524 to 776 of the family's 1533-position model. The record is from RNAcentral.